GACGAACGCUGGCGGCGUGCUUAACACAUGCAAGUCGAACGGAAAGGCCCUGCUUUUGUGGGGUGCCCGAGUGGCGAACGGGUGAGUAACACGUGAGUAACGUGCCCUUGACUUUGGGAUAACUUCAGGAAACUGGGGCUAAUACCGGAUAGGAGCUCCUGCUGCAUGGUGGGGGUUGGAAAGUUUCGGCGGUUGGGGAUGGACUCGCGGCUUAUCAGCUUGUUGGUGGGGUAGUGGCUUACCAAGGCUUUGACGGGUAGCCGGCCUGAGAGGGUGACCGGCCACAUUGGGACUGAGAUACGGCCCAGACUCCUACGGGAGGCAGCAGUGGGGAAUAUUGCACAAUGGGCGGAAGCCUGAUGCAGCAACGCCGCGUGCGGGAUGACGGCCUUCGGGUUGUAAACCGCUUUCGCCUGUGACGAAGCGUGAGUGACGGUAAUGGGUAAAGAAGCACCGGCUAACUACGUG
RNAcentral lists this ribosomal RNA (468 nucleotides) under uncultured bacterium. RNAcentral describes it as "partial 16S ribosomal RNA". It matches the Rfam family "Bacterial small subunit ribosomal RNA", at positions 28 to 507 of the family's 1533-position model. The record is from RNAcentral.